ACACCGGCAGCUCUAGUGGUAGCUGUUUUUAUUGGGCCUAAAGCGUUCGUAGCCGGUUUGGUAAGUCACUGGUGAAAUCCUGUAGCUUAACCAUGGGAAUUGCUGGUGAUACUGUUGAACUUGAGGUCGGGAGAGGUUAGCGGUACUCCCAGGGUAGAGGUGAAAUUCUGUAAUCCUGGGAGGACCACCUGUGGCGAAGGCGGCUAACUGGAACGAACCUGACGGUGAGGGACGAAAGCUAGGGGCGCGAACCGGAUUAGAUACCCGGGUAGUCCUAGCCGUAAACGAUGCGGACUUGGUGUUGGGACGGCUUUGAGCCGCUCCGGUGCCGAAGGGAAGCUGUUAAGUCCGCCGCCUGGGAAGUACGGUCGCAAGACUGAAACUUAAAGGAAUUGGCGGGG
RNAcentral lists this ribosomal RNA (401 nucleotides) under uncultured bacterium. RNAcentral's name for it is "partial 16S ribosomal RNA". It matches the Rfam family "Archaeal small subunit ribosomal RNA", at positions 473 to 873 of the family's 1478-position model. The record is from RNAcentral.